This 839-nucleotide ribosomal RNA is filed under the name Halorubrum sp. Crystal-Bi-White-U. Its description in RNAcentral is "bacterial SSU rRNA". It matches the Rfam family "Archaeal small subunit ribosomal RNA", at positions 38 to 880 of the family's 1478-position model. The record is from RNAcentral. Lineage: Archaea; Methanobacteriati; Methanobacteriota; Halobacteria; Halobacteriales; Haloferacaceae.
AUCCGAUUUAGCCAUGCUAGUCGCACGAGUUCAGACUCGUGGCGAAUAGCUCAGUAACACGUGGCCAAACUACCCUUCGGAACACAAUACCCUCGGGAAACUGAGGCUAAUAGUGUAUACCAUACCACCACUGGAAUGAGUGGUAUGCCAAACGCUCCGGCGCCGAAGGAUGUGGCUGCGGCCGAUUAGGUAGACGGUGGGGUAACGGCCCACCGUGCCAAUAAUCGGUAUGGGUCAUGAGAGUGAGAACCCAGAGACGGAAUCUGAGACAAGAUUCCGGGCCCUACGGGGCGCAGCAGGCGCGAAACCUUUACACUGCACGACAGUGCGAUAGGGGGAUCCCAAGUGCACAGGCAUAGCGCCUGUGCUUUUCGGUACCCUAAGGCGGUACCAGAAUAAGGGCUGGGCAAGACCGGUGCCAGCCGCCGCGGUAAUACCGGCAGCCCAAGUGAUGGCCGAUCUUAUUGGGCCUAAAGCGUCCGUAGCUGGCCGCGCAAGUCCAUCGGGAAAUCCACCUGCUCAACAGGUGGGCGCCCGGUAGAAACUGCGUGGCUUGGGACCGGAAGGCGCGACGGGUACGUCCGGGGUAGGAGUGAAAUCCCGUAAUCCUGGACGGACCGCCGAUGGCGAAAGCACGUCGCGAGAACGGAUCCGACAGUGAGGGACGAAAGCCAGGGUCUCGAACCGGAUUAGAUACCCGGGUAGUCCUGGCCGUAAACAAUGUCUGCUAGGUGUGGCUCCCACUACGAGUGGGUGCUGUGCCGUAGGGAAGCCGCUAAGCAGACCGCCUGGGAAGUACGUCCGCAAGGAUGAAACUUAAAGGAAUUGGCGGGAGCACU